Molecule: long non-coding RNA, 308 nt
Filed under: Gossypium barbadense (sea-island cotton)
Lineage: Eukaryota; Viridiplantae; Streptophyta; Magnoliopsida; Malvales; Malvaceae
Description: long non-coding RNA (GBAR_LNC002295)
Source: RNAcentral
GGUUCGACACUAUAUCUUUCGUACGUUCAACAGGUAUGUUCACACUAGACGCCAAUCUCAUGCAGAUAUAUGAAUGCGUUGACCCUUGGUCAAUUAAAGCAACAACACUUAUAUUAAAAUGAGAGAAAGUACCCGUAAUAAUAUCAGGAGCAGUGGCUUCCUCUCGAGCAUGUUUGCAUACGUUCUUGCCGGGGCUCGAACCUCAGAUUUUGUAGCGUCUUUAGUCAUGACUCGACUGCCACUAGCACUCCCAGGGUAUCUUGGAGGUCUACCUCAUAGAAUGGGAGCACUCGACUUCAUAGCUAUUU